GGGACAUUCAAAGAGAAGAUGUUGGUGAAAAAAUAUAUAGAUAACCAUUAAAAGCCAUCAGAAAGAAUAGUUAGCAGAAGGAUAAUUUUAAUAUAAGCCAAGGAAGUUCAUGAAACAGUGAAAAUUUCCCCUACUUAGAUUACUGGACACAGCUAUAUCAAAAAUCAUGCUAUCACUUGUCAGGUAAAAAAGUUUGAAUAUUUCUUUCAGAUAGAAAUAUCUAAGGUGGUCCUAUGUUUUUUUAAUUUUAUCUUUUUUCCUUUUUUUUUUCUUCAUUUUAUUUUAUUUUUUAUUUUUUUACCUGUAUCUUGAAAGAAUGCAACAGUGGGAAUGAAUUUCAUGCUAGUAGACACUUUAAAGACUAGAUUUAGCUGCAGUCACAUUAGCUUAGAUAAUGGGAGAAUUUUUCUUCAUUGAAAAUGCUCCCUGUCGCUUAAGAAGAACUCAUUGAGGCAGCCUGCCAUCUAGCUUUUUCACAGCAAAAUAGGCUUGCAGACUGCAGAUGAGAGACUCGGGAGCAGAGACAAUUUUAACUUAGCCAUCCCUAAUUUAUCUCAAGCUUUUUCAAUUCAUCUUCACUGCUCUGUGCACACGGGAACACCAGAUUGUCAACCCCUGGGAACAGAAUGCAACCAGGGAUCUAGAGAGCUGUCACAUCCUGAGAAAUAUUUAAAUUGUGCUGAUUUUCUUCUGGAGUGCUGAGCAGAGGGAAUGAAACUCUCCAUCAAGUCAUAGCUUUGCGGGCAAUAGAUCAGAGGAUACUGCCAGUUUUUCUAAUGGAUUAUUGUUAUCGGGCAGGUUCUUCCUGAAGAAAGUGUCAGUGGAGGAAAAGCGCAAUCUCUGCUCACGUCCAGAGAAGGUUAUAUUGCUCCAGUGUGUGCCUCCCUGGAGAAAAGCAGCCUGGAAGCAAAACACUGAGACAGAAAUCACUUGGAGCUUUGAAGCUUCCUCUGUUAUCAGAAGUCCAGAUGCAACAAUAGUCAAGAGGAACAGUUGUAUCUUGAACCUCAUUACGUGGCCUUGA
This 1024-nucleotide long non-coding RNA is filed under the name Anas platyrhynchos platyrhynchos (common mallard). RNAcentral's name for it is "lncRNA (ENSAPLG00000030751.1)". Lineage: Eukaryota; Metazoa; Chordata; Aves; Anseriformes; Anatidae. The record is from RNAcentral.